RNAcentral lists this ribosomal RNA (252 nucleotides) under uncultured bacterium. RNAcentral describes it as "partial 16S ribosomal RNA". It matches the Rfam family "Bacterial small subunit ribosomal RNA", at positions 524 to 776 of the family's 1533-position model. The record is from RNAcentral.
UACGGAGGAUGCGAGCGUUAUCCGGAUUUAUUGGGUUUAAAGGGUGCGUAGGCGGGAUGCCAAGUCAGCGGUAAAAAUGCGGUGCUCAACGCCGUCGAGCCGUUGAAACUGGCGUUCUUGAGUGGGCGAGAAGUAUGCGGAAUGCGUGGUGUAGCGGUGAAAUGCAUAGAUAUCAUGCAGAACUCCGAUUGCGAAGGCAGCAUACCGGCGCCCUACUGACGCUGAGGCACGAAAGCGUGGGUAUCGAACAGG